This 200-nucleotide ribosomal RNA is filed under the name uncultured bacterium. Its description in RNAcentral is "partial 16S ribosomal RNA". It matches the Rfam family "Bacterial small subunit ribosomal RNA", at positions 8 to 206 of the family's 1533-position model. The record is from RNAcentral.
AGAGUUUGAUCCUGGCUCAGGAUAAACGCUGGCGGCGUGCCUAACACAUGCAAGUCGAACGUUCUCCCGAUCUACGGAGAGGGAGGGAGUGGCGGACGGGUGAGUAACACAUGGGUGACCUGGCCUUCGGUGAGGGAUACCGGCGAGAAAUUGCCGACAAGCCCGCAUGAGGUCUGCCUGGUAGAGCAGGCAGAGCAAAG